ACGAACGCUGGCGGCGUGCUUAACACAUGCAAGUCGAACGGUGAAGCUCCAGCUUGCUGGAGUGGAUCAGUGGCGAACGGGUGAGUAACACGUGAGCAACCUGCCCCUGACUCUGGAAUAAGCGCUGGAAACGGCGUCUAAUACUGGAUACGAGAAGGGUCCGCAUGGACACUUUCUGGAAAGUUUUUCGGUUGGGGAUGGGCUCGCGGCCUAUCAGCUUGUUGGUGAGGUAAUGGCUCACCAAGGCGACGACGGGUAGCCGGCCUGAGAGGGCGACCGGCCACACUGGGACUGAGACACGGCCCAGACUCCUACGGGAGGCAGCAGUGGGGAAUAUUGCACAAUGGGCGAAAGCCUGAUGCAGCGACGCCGCGUGAGGGAUGACGGCCUUCGGGUUGUAAACCUCUUUCAGCAGGGAAGAAGCGAAAGUGACGGUACCUGCAGAAGAAGCACCGGCUAACUACGUG
This 467-nucleotide ribosomal RNA is filed under the name uncultured bacterium. RNAcentral describes it as "partial 16S ribosomal RNA". It matches the Rfam family "Bacterial small subunit ribosomal RNA", at positions 29 to 507 of the family's 1533-position model. The record is from RNAcentral.